RNAcentral lists this ribosomal RNA (497 nucleotides) under uncultured bacterium. RNAcentral describes it as "partial 16S ribosomal RNA". It matches the Rfam family "Bacterial small subunit ribosomal RNA", at positions 28 to 507 of the family's 1533-position model. The record is from RNAcentral.
GAUGAACGCUGGCGGCGUGCCUAAUACAUGCAAGUCGAACGGACGGACGAUAAUCUUGCGGCGCUGAUGUUAGCGGCGGACGGGUGAAUAACGCGUGUAUAACCUCCCUGUAAUAGUGGUAUAACUUCGGGAAACCGGAGCUAAUACCGGAGGAUAUUUUGCACCGCAGGGUUGAAAGGUAAAAUACGGUCUUUCUGGCACGUAUAGAUGGAUCCGCGCUGCAUUGGCGGGUUGGUAAGUUAACGGCUUACCAAGGCAACGAUGCAUAGCCGACGGGUGAGGGUGAUAGGCCACACGGGAACUGAGACACGGACAAGACUCCUAAGGGAGGCAGCAGUAUGGAAUCUUACGCAACGGGCGAAAGCAUGACGGAGCAGCGCCGCGCGAGUGAUGAAGGUCUUCGGAUCGUAAAAACCUGUUAUUAGGGAAGAACAUAUGUGUCAGUAACUGUGCACAUCUUGACGGUACCUAAUCAGAAAGCAACGGCUAACUACGUG